UACGUAGGGUCCGAGCGUUGUCCGGAAUUACUGGGCGUAAAGAGCUCGUAGGUGGUUUGUCGCGUUGUUCGUGAAAACUCACAGCUCAACUGUGGGCGUGCGGGCGAUACGGGCAGACUUGAGUACUGGAGGGGAGACUGGAAUUCCUGGUGUAGCGGUGGAAUGCGCAGAUAUCAGGAGGAACACCGGUGGCGAAGGCGGGUCUCUGGGCAGUAACUGACGCUGAGGAGCGAAAGCGUGGGGAGCGAACAGG
RNAcentral lists this ribosomal RNA (253 nucleotides) under uncultured bacterium. Its description in RNAcentral is "partial 16S ribosomal RNA". It matches the Rfam family "Bacterial small subunit ribosomal RNA", at positions 524 to 776 of the family's 1533-position model. The record is from RNAcentral.